Rhipicephalus microplus (southern cattle tick) is the source of this 4490-nucleotide long non-coding RNA. The record is from RefSeq and is a predicted model, not a curated record. Lineage: Eukaryota; Metazoa; Arthropoda; Arachnida; Ixodida; Ixodidae.
GCCCAAAUAAACAGUUAAAUUCUAACACGAAGUCUCCUGUCUUCGGCCACGUCACGACCCCGUGAGAGUAUAUUUAAAUUUUGACAGACCACUUUGCUGUCUGUGCAAUUUCAGGAAGUUUCGGAAGCAUCAGCUGGACAGCGAAGUAUCAAACAGAUGUGCCCUGACAAACUGUGCAGUGCUGACCACAUGGUGAGCCAAGCAUCCCAUGAGAGGGGUUUACUCAUCAUCUGUGGAUAACUCAAAGAAAGAACCUCCCGAAAGCAGUGCUACAAGGAUGUGAGCCACAAGUUCUUUUCAACGAACGGAUCAGAUGCCUGAGAGCCAUGGGCCGGCUGUUUCUGGCCUACACAGACAGUGCAGUCAGCACAGUAAAGUUCUUGCAAAGGUGUGAGACAUUCCUAUGUUGCAUAGAGUGAGCAUGUUAGUUGUCAGUUUUAUAGCUUAUAAGGACAUGUCUACAAAACUAAUUCCCUAAACAGUGUGUUUUACAUUCUCGCAAAGUGCAAUUAGACAGCUUUGGCUCUGUCUUUCUUUUUUAUCCCCUUCCAGACCAUCUUGAUAAUUCAUGCAGAGUGCUGCAGCAAUCGCAUUGUCUGAGUAUCACAGAAACUUCAUUUCAAAAAACAAUUAUGGUGGCCCUUUCAUGCCUGACCAGUGUAUAGGUACUCUUCGCUAGCGAAGUGAUGUGAUUUUGCACUGACAGUCGGUUGGUUCUCUCUGCAAUAUGAAAUAGUGUUUUGGCCUUACAAUUACGCCGUAUAGAUUAUCUGGAUGGGAGGCAUGCUGCAUAUCUCUUUAUCUCACCUAUGCCUUGUACAGUACUUCCACACCGUGCCGAUGUAGCACAGCGGCACAUCAACGAGGCCUUGCUUAGUUGAUGGCUGCAUGUUGAUUGCACAAUCACUGACGUCAUGCUUUGUUGCCAUGUGACUGUAGUCAUGAUGGUAACGUGUGCGUACCCCUCGUCACGAUGAGAACGAUGAAGAAGCCAAGUAAGAAACCUGAAACAGCUACACUGUGUGUUUUAUUGGCUGUGACUUCUUCACUUCAUCAUGUGAACAUGAAAUUUGUGGCAACGUGCUCACAUUUUACAAUUUGGCAGUUAUCAGAAAUUUUAGACAGUGGGGUUGUUUAGUAGCUUUUCACAUUUCAAUUAUGAAUGGUCCAUUGAUGCACUGCAUGGAUUUGUUGAUUUAUAUUUUGCAAUGCUCAUCUGUGAAAUAGUCUGCAGCUUCUGUCAAUAUCUAUGUGCUCAUUAUACGAGCCAUACUGUAUGUUCAAUAUGUAUCAUAACCAGCAAAAGUUUGCGGGACACGAAAUGUUCCAUGAAGCUAUAUUGUCACUUUGUCUAAGAAUGUAAUUUUGAAAGAAAUAUCUCAUACUGCACUUCGCAUUGCGACCUACGCAGUCGCGAGUCUAAUUACAAGUGUUAACUACCGACGUAGCGGAAAUUCGCAUUUGUUGUGGAUUCAACAUCUACCAAGCUACCAAGCUUUUCCUGUUGAUAGUACUUUCAUGGAUUUUUCAUGGCACUAGAGCCACCUCCUUUCUCCGGGUUUUGCAGCUACAUAGCUGGCAGUUAAUUGCUUUGCUGCUUUGUUUACCUAAUACCUAUUCAACCAAUGCAUCUAAAACGGUGUUUUGGGUGUACUUACAUCAUUAGGUGUUUAAUAUUUUACUAGUUGUGGAGCUUUUUUCGGUCUUUUGGCUUUUACUUUUUGGAAAUUAAUUACUGUUUUCAGAGCAAUCUGUAGACAUCAAUAUUGACUCUACUAAGCUUUGGUUCAGAAAGAAAAGCUGAACAGUUGCCGAGGUGCAUGGCCUGCGCCACAACAUUCUGGGUUACCAGAAAUAGAUUCUAGGCCGGAUAAUAUGUGGCUCCUUGCUAGUUGCGCGUCUUGCUUUUACUUGGAGCUUGUUUCAUUGUCAUAAAAUUUAUCUCACGUUGCUUACAGCUAUGCUACCUUGGGAACAACCCCCCCACUGAGUGGAUUUGAUCUUUAGAGCAGCAGUUGCACUUAAGAAGGAGGCAAAAAUCCCCUGAGGCCUAAGUGCUUUGAAUUGAAACUCACAUUCAGAACCCCAUUAUUAUUGUAACAUCAAGUGAAUAAAGUGGUAAUUCUAGAUUUUAUACAUAUUUCAAAUAAGAGAGAUGAGCUGCUCUGUAGGUUGGUAUUCACGUUAAAAGACAGGGCAUGCAAACAUGGACUCGAGAGAGUAGUCAAGACACCGCAAACACCAAGUGGAAAAGGUGACAUUAAGCUACAAACGAAACAAGGCAAGUGGAGAUAUCGAUCAAGAUGGCAUGCCUGUUGGUCUAUGUGAGAAAAACCGGUGUUUUGAUGCCAAAUGUAGGAAGAAGUUGUUCCAGCACUAUUUUUGGGGAAAACUUUCUAAUACAGCAGAGACCUUUCAAACCAUGUUUUCCGAAAUUGAGUUAUGGGAGAAAAAUAACUGCCACAGGAUUGUUGCCACAUGCUUUUACCACAGUCUUUGUUUCUUUGUCAGCAAAGUUUUAUGGCUAUGGUAUCGAAAUAAUUAUUGUUUGAAUUAGCGCUAAUGUUGGUCGCGAGGAAACAUGGCAAAAUGGUACUCGGCUGUUGACCCGCAGGUCCCGGGUUCAUAUCCCGGUAGUGGCGUCUGCAUUUCCGAUGGAGGCGGGAAUGUUGUAGGCCUGUGUGCUCAGAUUUGGGUACAGGUUAAAGAACUCUAGGUUGUCGAAAUUUCCGGAGCCCUUCUCUACGGCGUCUCUCAUAAUCAUAUGGUGGUUUUGGGACGUGAAACCCCACAUAUCAAUCAAAUCAAACAUAGAAAAACGAAGUGUUUUUCGUAUAUUAUUUACAAGAGUGAUUUUUUCUUGUCGAAUAAAAUAUACAUUGUUUGUUUAAAGGCAUUUCGCAAGAGUUGAAAAUACUUACUACUCUAAAAACUGAAGACGUCUUCACACAUUUUUACCCUGGGUUCUUUUGCUGAUAAGACAGUCGUUAAAGCAUAAACGUAAAGGGUGAGCAUUAAAUUGCGAAAAAAGCCUUACUGUUCAUAACCUAAAAUUCAAUCAAACACUACAUGACAGUUGUCAUGUUACGGCAGAAGUUAAGAUGAUGAUAGGGAGGAGGGGGGGUUGAAUGAGAGUCAAAUUGUUAGAGAAAGCUUGUGUUUGGAGCCAAUCAAGGUUUUUCAAGAUUAGGUUGUUUUGAAUGUUUGAACAUAAAUCGUUUAUGUAAGUCGUGGCAGUAACCUUGAUACGGUUUUCUGCUCUGGAAAAUAGAUGUCCUCUCAUCGAAUCACUCAUUUUUAGCAUCACGGACAUAGUGUUAUAAAACUGUUGAGCAGCCAGAUCCCUGCUAAAUGCCUUGUGCUCUGCAGCUUAUGUUUUUCACACAGUAUCAUUACAUUAGAAGCAAUUGUUAAAGUGGAGGAUUUGUAAUGCAUGUGUUGAGAUGUAUACCUGAUCAUAAAAAAUUAUUGAACGAAUGUUAGAGCUUGGUAUUCGGCAACAGAACCUUUCUUUACUGAAGCAGCAAACUGCGUCAAGGUUGCUGCCAUAACUUAGACCAAUUGUCUUAUUCAAACAUUGGCUCGAACAACACACUUAUUUAGCAAUAUGACACUCAUUCAAGCCCCCAUCUUCAUGUUAGCUCCUGCCCUAAUAAGAUGUACAAUUGUCAUGUAGUGUAUAUUGUAUUUAAAAAAUAUAUAUGCAAGCCUUGCUUCUUAAUCAAUUGCUCACCAUUUGUAUUGAUGCAUUAUUCAUUGUCUUCAACAGGCUAAUACCUCCUCCAUGAAGUUAUGAAUAAUGGACGUCUACCCAUCCAGAACUCUGUCACGCGCAGUGACAGAGUGCUGGACGGGUGGAGACAACGGAAAUGACAACGAAGUCCUGAUCCUCUUACCUCAACAGCUCCUGUUUCUUGCUCCAAGGGUGCCAUUACAAUAUGUUCACUGCCGCACGUAGGCCUUUGCAGUGGUCUACAAUAUGCUUUGUCCUGUGUAAAGUUGCAUAAUAUAAUGCAAACAUCUUAUGUUCACCCCACAUAACUCUUCCUGGUGUUAGUAGUUACAGAAAUUGUAACUGCCACACCAUGGCCCUAGUUAAACAGAAUUUGUUAUGAUAGUCUAUGAAUUCUUUUGCAGUUAAAAUAUAGUGUGUUUAACGUUGUUUUUUUGUCUACUAUAGCAAUAGGUCUUCAUAGCAUUCUUCUGCUUGUUCUGCAUGUGAUCAAUUCUUGUGCAGAAAUGCCGUCUGCUUUUGUGAUUCAUGAAAUAGUGGUGUGAACAGAGGUGAUGUAUGUAGUAGGCACCAUAGUGGUUUAAACUCUGCACAGUGCUGCUGCAACAAUAGUUAUUUUUUGUGCUUCCUUUUUAGACAUACAGAAAGGAGCCAAGUGGAGCUGUUCAUGGGCCAUGUAUACAGUUUUAUAAGCGGGCUUUCAGCACUUUUGACAAUUAUGUUUCUGAAUAAACCUGCCAAAGUUGUGUUUAAAAAA